RNAcentral lists this ribosomal RNA (253 nucleotides) under uncultured bacterium. RNAcentral's name for it is "partial 16S ribosomal RNA". It matches the Rfam family "Bacterial small subunit ribosomal RNA", at positions 524 to 776 of the family's 1533-position model. The record is from RNAcentral.
UACGAAGGGGGGCUAGCGUUGCUCGGAAUGACUGGGCGUAAAGGGCGCGUAGGCGGUUCGUACAGUCAGACGUGAAAUUCCCGGGCUCAACCUGGGGGCUGCGUUUGAUACGUACGGGCUUGAGUUCGGAAGAGGGUCGUGGAAUUCCUAGUGUAGAGGUGAAAUUCGUAGAUAUUGGGAAGAACACCGGUGGCGAAGGCGGCGACCUGGUCCGAUACUGACGUGAGGCGCGAAAGCGUGGGGAGCAAACAGG